This 544-nucleotide long non-coding RNA is filed under the name Mytilus galloprovincialis (Mediterranean mussel). Lineage: Eukaryota; Metazoa; Mollusca; Bivalvia; Mytilida; Mytilidae. The record is from RNAcentral.
CUAAAGCAUCAUGGGUAAUUUCAUUGUUCGUACCCCAAAGUGAAAAUAACGUUACGUCAUUGGUUGAAUUUCGAUUGUUUAGGACGUUUUAAACCAAUCAAAACGCUUUGGUGUACGCUUUUGAAAAUAUUACCCAGGAUGCAUUAGAUUCUGAAACGGCGAAUUCAUGAUGUCCCUUUGUUAUAGUGCUCCUCACUUUUAGUGAAGGAGAAUUAUGCUUUAUUCAAACGAUUAAUGAAAAUGUCCAAAUACACAAAAUACCAGCCUUAUAACAGAAAUUGAGUAACAAUAAACAACCGAUUGGCAUUUUCGACAAAAACAAAUGCAGUCGUUUUAUUCAAAAAAUCUUCAAUUUUGCUUACUAUAUUUACAUGAAAAUAUAUCGUAUCGAAUCGUUUGAUAAUCAACAAAAACAUUGCUAUAGACCAGCUAUGGUGCAGAUUUAUAAAAAAAAAUAUGGAUUUUCUUAAUGCUCUUAACGUUGUAGAUUUUUUGAUGCGAUUGAAUUAGGUUUUUUUUUCUGAAAUCUUUCCUGUUCGGCUUC